This 524-nucleotide long non-coding RNA is filed under the name Rattus norvegicus (Norway rat). Its description in RNAcentral is "long non-coding RNA NONRATT010773". The record is from RNAcentral. Lineage: Eukaryota; Metazoa; Chordata; Mammalia; Rodentia; Muridae.
AGAAAUGCUUCUGAUCCUGAUGGUAAACUUGGGAAAGCCACUGCCAAGAAUCUGCUUCAAACCCAAUUUAGGAAUUUCACUGAGGUUGUCCACUGAGUUUGAUGAACGAGCUAACAUGUGGGCACAGUGGGUCAGAGCGGCAAUACCAGUUGAAUCUCUGAGCAUGUAUUCAAAUGGCAAAAUACUCGGAUCAUCUUGCUGUGAGAAACCAAAGAAGGAAUUCUGAACACUAAAUAAAUAUAGUGUUUGAAGUAUGAAUAAGAGUAAACUACUAUAUGAUUUAAUUUUUCUGACACCUUCUACAUUGACUUACAUGAUGUCCUAUGCAUAAGUUUAUACUUUGGGCAAUACUGGCCUAUGGAAAUCUUACAAGAAAGAAAAAAUGGCCAAUACCCAAGCCUAAACCACCAAGAUUUACUCUGCUUCCUGUGACGAUCAAGAGCCUAGUCUAACAAAAUAUGUAAAAGUUGUCUGUAAAUUCUUAGUGUGGUCUGAGAUAUUAAAAAGAUAAUAAUUGUCUUUCU